AUACGUAGGGCGCAAGCGUUGUCCGGAAUUAUUGGGCGUAAAGAGCUCGUAGGCGGUUUGUCGCGUCUGCUGUGAAAUCCCCAGGCUCAACUUGGGGCGUGCAGUGGGUACGGGCAGACUAGAGUGCGGUAGGGGAGACUGGAAUUCCUGGUGUAGCGGUGGAAUGCGCAGAUAUCAGGAGGAACACCGAUGGCGAAGGCAGGUCUCUGGGCCGUUACUGACGCUGAGGAGCGAAAGCAUGGGGAGCGAACAGGAUUAGAUACCCUGGUAGUCCAUGCCGUAAACGUUGGGCACUAGGUGUGGGGUCUGUUUCCACGGAUUCCGCGCCGUAGCUAACGCAUUAAGUGCCCCGCCUGGGGAGUACGGCCGCAAGGCUAAA
Molecule: ribosomal RNA, 379 nt
Filed under: uncultured bacterium
Lineage: Bacteria
Description: bacterial SSU rRNA
Rfam family: Bacterial small subunit ribosomal RNA
Source: RNAcentral